UGGGGAAUUUUGCGCAAUGGGCGAAAGCCUGACGCAGCAACGCCGCGUGGAGGAUGAAGGUCUUCGGAUCGUAAACUCCUGUCAGGGGGGACGAAAGCCGCGCAAGCGGUCUGACUGUACCCUCUGAGGAAGCCACGGCUAACUCCGUGCCAGCAGCCGCGGUAAUACGGAGGUGGCAAGCGUUGUUCGGAAUUACUGGGCGUAAAGGGCGCGUAGGCGGCUUGGCAAGUCAGAUGUGAAAGCCCCGGGCUUAACUUGGGAAUUGCAUCUGAAACUGCUUUGCUUGAGUCCUGGAGGGGGUAGUGGAAUUCCCAGUGUAGCGGUGAAAUGCGUAGAUAUUGGGAGGAACACCUGCGGCGAAGGCGGCUACCUGGACAGUGACUGACGCUGAGGCGCGAAA
RNAcentral lists this ribosomal RNA (400 nucleotides) under uncultured bacterium. Its description in RNAcentral is "bacterial SSU rRNA". It matches the Rfam family "Bacterial small subunit ribosomal RNA", at positions 355 to 758 of the family's 1533-position model. The record is from RNAcentral.